CCUACGGUGUGCAGCAGUGGGGAAUAUUGCACAAUGGGGGAAACCCUGAUGCAGCGACGCCGAGUGACGGAAGAAGUAUUUCGGUAUGUAAACUUCUAUCAGCAGGGAAGAAAAUGACGGUACCUGACUAAGAAGCCCCGGCUAACUACGUGCACGCAGCCGCGGUAAUACGGAGGGGGAAAGCGUUAUCCGGAUUUACUGGGUGUAAAGGGAACGUAGGCGGCGAUGCAAGUCAGAAGUGAAAGCCCGGGGCUCAACUCGGGGACUGCUUUUGAAACUGUGUUGCUAGAUUGCAGGAGAGGUAGGUAGAAUUCCUAGUGUAGCAGUGAAAUGCGUAGAGAGUAGGAGGAACACCAGUGGCGAAGGCGGCUUACUGGACUGUAAAUGACGCUGAGGCUCGAAAGCGUGGGGAGCAAACAGGAUUAGAGACCCUUGUAGUC
This 440-nucleotide ribosomal RNA is filed under the name uncultured bacterium. Its description in RNAcentral is "partial 16S ribosomal RNA". It matches the Rfam family "Bacterial small subunit ribosomal RNA", at positions 338 to 795 of the family's 1533-position model. The record is from RNAcentral.